GAGGAGGGCCAGCGGCCUAGGGCCGCGAAGAGCCAGGCGAGAGGACUGGGCUCGCCUGCCUUUGAUCUGGCUCAAACUUUCUCAAGUCCAAGUCAGUCCCGCUGGCCCCGGGUAACUUCCAGCCUGUCCGCCGCCAACCUCCAAUGUUCUUAGAUCGCUCGCAUCCCUUCGGCCUCCGCCUGCGCACUCCUGUGCGUUAUGUCUGAUCACUCAUUUUGUUUGCCUCGAUAUGGGUUAAACAGAACCCACUACCGUCGAAAUAAUGUCCCUCCAUUUGUGCAUCAGCACCGUUCACAACAGGCACAAAACCUAACUAUUGAUUUUCAACCUGCAAACUGUCACUGGGAUUCCAGGUGUGGGACACCAUGCUGAGCUAAAUGAGAUCCUCCAUAAGAGCCCUGAGUAGCCCGUGCAGGAGGUCGGAAGGAGCUGUUGGGAUGAUCGGCACUGAGGAUGAUCAGAGAUGCGGAUGAGCAAGGGUGGGGAGGAGGAUCAAACCCAGGGCAUGCACAUGCCAGGCAAGGGCUCUGCCACUGUGCUACAUAACCACAUCCUCAUAACCACGUCGAUUUUCAUGGGUCCCAAGCAUUUUUGCCUUUCUUGAGCCUUUCCUCUGUAAAAAAUGUGAAAUUUUAAUUUUCGGAUGCAUUAGUGUAAAGGUGAAUAUAUUAACAGUGUAUAUUAAAGCACUUU
This is a long non-coding RNA of Sciurus carolinensis (gray squirrel), 693 nucleotides long. RefSeq lists it as uncharacterized. The record is from RefSeq and is a predicted model, not a curated record. Lineage: Eukaryota; Metazoa; Chordata; Mammalia; Rodentia; Sciuridae. The transcript is spliced from 3 exons.